This 492-nucleotide ribosomal RNA is filed under the name uncultured bacterium. RNAcentral's name for it is "partial 16S ribosomal RNA". It matches the Rfam family "Bacterial small subunit ribosomal RNA", at positions 29 to 507 of the family's 1533-position model. The record is from RNAcentral.
AGUGAACGCUGGCGGUAGGCCUAACACAUGCAAGUCGAACGGCAGCACAGUAAGAGCUUGCUCUUACGGGUGGCGAGUGGCGGACGGGUGAGGAAUACAUCGGAAUCUACUUUUUCGUGGGGGAUAACGUAGGGAAACUUACGCUAAUACCGCAUACGACCUACGGGUGAAAGCAGGGGAUCUUCGGACCUUGCGCGAUUGAAUGAGCCGAUGUCGGAUUAGCUAGUUGGCGGGGUAAAGGCCCACCAAGGCGACGAUCCGUAGCUGGUCUGAGAGGAUGAUCAGCCACACUGGAACUGAGACACGGUCCAGACUCCUACGGGAGGCAGCAGUGGGGAAUAUUGGACAAUGGGCGCAAGCCUGAUCCAGCCAUACCGCGUGGGUGAAGAAGGCCUUCGGGUUGUAAAGCCCUUUUGUUGGGAAAGAAAAGCAGCAGGUUAAUACCCCGCUGUUCUGACGGUACCGAAAGAAUAAGCACCGGCUAACUUCGUG